GCCAAUUAAAAAACUGUAGACAAGAGAUAUAGAUCCAUACAAAACUGUUGUAAGUAAAAAGAAAAAAAAAAAGAAGAAGAAGACAAAAGCAGUACAGAUCUAAAGCCGGGCAAAGGCGUGAGUUCUCAGGCAACCAUUAUGAAUGUUCCGAGAAAGAAGCCUUCAAUUUGUCGCUACUGACGCCAAUUCCAUAAAACCCUCUAAGAACUCUCCACCCCCACCUGUGAUUUUGGAUAUUGCUAGGGUUGAUGCGUUAGUGGG
Molecule: long non-coding RNA, 261 nt
Filed under: Olea europaea (common olive)
Lineage: Eukaryota; Viridiplantae; Streptophyta; Magnoliopsida; Lamiales; Oleaceae
Description: long non-coding RNA (OEUR_LNC005120)
Source: RNAcentral